This 3098-nucleotide long non-coding RNA is filed under the name Fragaria vesca (wild strawberry). RNAcentral describes it as "long non-coding RNA (FVES_LNC000584)". Lineage: Eukaryota; Viridiplantae; Streptophyta; Magnoliopsida; Rosales; Rosaceae. The record is from RNAcentral.
GAUAGCCAAGGCCCUAGCCACUAUUAUGAGAUUAGUUUGCAUUGCUGGCGUGGCUUUUCCCAACAACACACUAUCAUCUUUUUGGUGACUACAUAUAUACUCACCAAUCCAAUCUUUGGUGACUUCAUUGAAUUAAUAAAUAAAAAAAUAUUCAGCUAUAAAACUCUAUGGGUCCUACAUAUUCAGCAAAAGCAUCUUCAAAACCAGCUUCUUUAAAUUCAAAACCGCUUUCUUUCAUCUCUCAUAUCUCGUCUCUAGUAUCUCCUGCAAAGCAACAACAUGUGCAAAGAUUACUUGGCUAUAAAUCACCCCUCAUAAUUUUAUUUCCUUCAUAUAACAAAUGAUAUGUAUCUUGUGGAAAUAAAAUCAAUGUAUCCAGUGGAAAUAAAAUCAACUUGAAGCUCAUAAACUAUCAACAUGUUCAUAACCCGUGACUUUCUAAAAAUAUCAAUUUGAAGCUCAUAAACUAUCAACAUGUUCAUAACCCCUGACUUCAUACCUAUAUCAACUUGAUGAACAAGUUCAUAUAAAAGCUCCCUACAUGUUAUGUAUCACAUACCUUAGUUCAUAAUACAAGAUAAUCCUCUCCUCUCUCCUUCCAUCACUAAAAUGCAAGUAUAGUGUACAAAGUCCACAUCUUUUCCUGCAAGCAGAAAAACACACUUUGGGUAAGUUGGCCAGAAAACAUACAAUAAAAUUUCUUUUGGGUAAGAACCUUAGAAGAAACAAUUAUCAUUCACAUUUAUUAUAGUAAAACCUGGUUCAAGUUCAUAAAUUAAGCAUCUAUUGGCAUUGUUGACACAUAGAAGGUAAAAUCUGAAGCUAGAAACGAGGUUAUAGUGAACAAUAAUGUACUAUGAAUUAAGUUCCCAAGGAAUGGUAGUAUCAUAUAUAGUAAUGGUAGUAUCAGCCCACUUUUAUGGACGAUGCAUAUUCAAUUACUGAUUCACAUUUACAAAAGAAUAUAAGCGUACCUUAUUGAGUGAAUGACAUUUUUUGUCUCCUCAUUCAUACGGUCUUGUAGCUUUCUGUUUCAGAAUGAACACCCUAUAAAAAAACUGCAUAUGACCAGUCAGUUAAGAAUCUUAAGAAGUUCAAAUAGAUUGAUAUGAAUCAAGGACAAUUGUAUACAAAUUAAGAACUGAUAAAGAGGGAAGAUAAAUAUGUAGGGGAAGUUUACCUCCUUCAACACCAGGGCAUCCAACUAUUCUUUUAUCAUGGUAAGACUUGACUAUAGGAGGCGCUUCCUAUAACACAGACAACAUACUAGCCCUAAUACACAAUAAUGGAAGCCCUAAACAUUAUUUAUACAUGUUCUAAACCAUGUAAACAUGCUUCAACUUUACCAGUUGAAAUUGACACAUAAGAGGUGCACAAUACGCAUAUUCUUUUGUCUAUUCAUUCGAUAGAAAGCACUUAACCAUGUUAACCAUAAAAUUCAUAUGGUAAGAGGAGUCUGACAACUAUUAUCUCUUUUUCAUUCAUUCACUCAAAGAUCAAAAUAUAAAUAAAAAACACAUUCCCCUCGAUAGUUAUUAGAAAUCUGCAAUUAGUAAUCAAAAGACUCUUGUUUAAAGUCUAAAAGUAUGAAUGUAAAAGCCCACUUCUACGACAACAAAUGUCAAAGUCAUCUCAUAUAAUUUAUGAAUAAUGAAGCAAGAACAUGAAACAAAAAAAAUUAAGUCUUCAAAGUACCUUAGUACCAAAAGGACUAAUUGGAUUAUUAAUCUCAAGAAUUUCCUCCCCUAGAAAUUAAGUCUUCGGAGUACCUUAGAACCAAAAGUAGACAUAAACCAACAAUAAUAUGAAGUUUGUCUAUCAUAUUCAUCUCAUCACCCAAAAACAGUGAUGUAAGCUGCUUAAUAUAACAGACCACAAAAGCUGGAAGAAGCUAGUUAUGCAGUAAUUCUCUAUUUGGUGUAAAGAAUAUAAAACUCCAAAGAAAUUGCAUUUGAUUGAAGAGUUCAUAAAAUUGAUUUCCCAUCAAGAAUAUACACAGUCACAUUUAAGAUUGAUACAAAAGACAUAUCUACAAGUUAAAUAUGCAGACAUACUGACAAUUAAACAUUAGUGUCUACAUGAACUCCUUUUAUACCAUAUCAAACUAAUAAUAAUCAAGUUAUUAGUAGAGUCCUUACUUAAACCUCAUGAACAUUACAAAGUAUUGAAAGCGAAUAAACAUCUCAGAGAACUGAACUCACCAGGUAAACAACUUCUAUCAAAUAAUUCUUGACAUUAUCAAUUCUGAAACAACAGUAUCAAGAAUAAGCACCCAAAUUAACUAUUAUAUAGUCAGCAAUUAUAAAAUUUCAUCAAAAAAGAAUUUUCAUCAGUUAAAUUAUAUCACCUUCCACCUUUCAUUGUCCUAAAGAUCAUGAAAAUGUCCAUUCCUUUUCUGUUCUUUUGACCAGUGUGAUAAGCUUCAUUCCAACCCUAAAAAAUUAACCCCAAAGUUCAAGUUUUGCGGUGGAGAAAGAAUGCAUGCAAGAGCCUCUAAAACCAAAAUAAAGAAAUUAUGAUGCACAAGAAAAGAAAAGCACAACAUACCAAAGCAAUUAAAUAUAACAACUUCAUUACAGAUGUAAAAACGAAGCAGAUAGGGAGAUACACUGACUUGUUCCUCUUUUCAUUCAUCGGGUCGGAGCACCAGUUAAUCUUUCACAGCCCAUGGUGAUCUGCAAAAUUUUCAAUCGAUCAAUCUUCAUACUACGCUGAAAGAUGAUAUCGGAAACCAAUCAAUGAAGCGAGAUUAGGAUUUAAGAUUUUCAUUACCUGCAGCGUCGACGAAGACACGGAGUUGGAUUAGAUCGGCUUAUGGCCGAAAACAGACAGAGUAAUUUGGAGGCUUGUCGAGCUGUAGUAGCUGAGAGAGAGAGAGAGAGAGAGAGAGAGAGAGAGAGAGAGAGAGAGAGAGAGAGAGAGAGAGAGAGAGAGAGAGAGAGAGAGAGAGAGAGAGAGAGAGAGAGAGGAACUUCGUUAUGCACCACAUAAAAAAAGAGAUAAACUCAUAAAAGUAUAAUUUUAUAACUUUAAACAAUAUUGGUGACAGUCAAACAGUUGUGGUUUUUGCUAAUAGUGACACCAUUAUAAGGAUUGGG